CAAAGAGUUACAAUCAUUCUCAUAUAGCAUCACGUACAGGGCUUAAAAGGAAAGCAGUCAAACGUCAAAAAUUUCUUGAACUAGAUUUCGAAGUGUUCGUAGUGUAAGCGGCAAGAACAACAGUCGAUAAGGGAUUGUACAUAGUUAACUAGGUCUUCAUUACCUGCAAACCAGGAUUUUACCUGGAUCAAACUUAACACGCUUCCGUCUCAAAAAAGAUGCUUAUCUCUCUCUUCUUGGGAGGCCGAUGGUCACUAAGAACUCUGCUGCCCAAAAAACUGUAAUUCUUAAGGUUUGCUGUCGGUUACAGGUAUUAAGAGAAAGAAUAAAUGUUAUAUACUUUUUCCGCUUUAUUUAGUAAAAAAUUAUGUCAUUGUAAGAUUGUUAUGUAUGUAGUACACGUUUGACAAUGCACAAUGACAUUGAGAAUGGGAAUGAUAUAAACAGUUGGAUUGUAAUUUAGGUAGUGCAGGUUUCUCGUUGAUCUCGAGGACAUCCUGCGAUAAGGUUUUUCGUAUAAAUUCUACCUUCUCCUUUCCCUUGACAUAUGUAGCGUCCAUUGGUGAUACCAGCAGGCGCACUAUAGUUGAAAAUAAGUGUGCCUGCGUAUGUCCUUCUUCCCAUUUAAUCGGCCAGAUUGCUUCUCUCUCUCUCUGGUAGCUCACAUCUAAGCUGCUAAAUGAAAACGGAGGUUUGAACAUAAAAUCUGCAAGUUGGUGCCCAUUAAAUACCGCUAAAUCCUUUGGAGUAAAUGACGUUUUGUAUGUUUUAAAUCCUUGAACCUCAAUAUCGAUAACCAGUUUUCUGCUACUGAUUCACCAACUGUUUCGAGAACUACUACUGGACUGAUAGAAAGCAUCGCU
Molecule: long non-coding RNA, 863 nt
Organism: Photinus pyralis (common eastern firefly)
Lineage: Eukaryota; Metazoa; Arthropoda; Insecta; Coleoptera; Lampyridae
Exons: 3
Source: RefSeq, a predicted model, not a curated record